Molecule: ribosomal RNA, 501 nt
Filed under: uncultured bacterium
Lineage: Bacteria
Description: partial 16S ribosomal RNA
Rfam family: Bacterial small subunit ribosomal RNA
Source: RNAcentral
AUUGAACGCUGGCGGCAGGCUUAACACAUGCAAGUCGAGCGGGGGAAGGUAGCUUGCUACCGGACCUAGCGGCGGACGGGUGAGUAAUGCUUAGGAAUCUGCCUAUUAGUGGGGGACAGCAUCUCGAAAGGGAUGCUAAUACCGCAUAAGUCCUACGGGAGAAAGCAGGGGAUCUUCGGACCUUGCGCUAAUAGAUGAGCCUAAGUCGGAUUAGCUAGUUGGUGGGGUAAAGGCCUACCAAGGCGACGAUCUGUAGCGGGUCUGAGAGGAUGAUCCGCCACAGUGGGACUGAGACACGGCCCAGACUCCUACGGGAGGCAGCAGUGGGGAAUAUUGGACAAUGGGGGGAACCCUGAUCCAGCCAUGCCGCGUGUGUGAAGAAGGCCUUAUGGUUGUAAAGCACUUUAAGCGAGGAGGAGGCUACUCUAGUUAAUACCUAGGGAUAGUGGACGUUACUCGCAGAAUAAGCACCGGCUAACUCUGUGCCAGCCGCCGCAGUAA